Molecule: small nuclear RNA, 106 nt
Filed under: Dasypus novemcinctus (nine-banded armadillo)
Lineage: Eukaryota; Metazoa; Chordata; Mammalia; Cingulata; Dasypodidae
Source: RNAcentral
GUGCUUGCUUUGGUGGCACAUAUACUAAAAUUGUAAUGAUACAGGGAAGAUUAGCUCAUCCCAGUGCAAGGAUGACAUGCAAAUUAGUGAAGCAGUCAGUAUUUUU